This is a long non-coding RNA of Gorilla gorilla gorilla (western lowland gorilla), 451 nucleotides long. RefSeq lists it as uncharacterized. The transcript is spliced from 3 exons. The record is from RefSeq and is a predicted model, not a curated record. NCBI's taxonomy places the organism in Eukaryota, Metazoa, Chordata, Mammalia, Primates, Hominidae.
GAGGGCAGGGACCAAGUCUGUUUCACUAUGUGGUGUGUAUCUAGAGCUACACAGUGUGCUCAACACGCACUAGGUACUUAACAAAUAAUCACUGAAGGGAUGAACGACAGAAUCAGAUGGAAAUAGCCUACUGGAGAGGAAUAAACAUGGCCAUUCUUGAUAGAUAUGUUGACUGAUGGACUGAGAGAUAUAGAUACAUGCCAUGAGAUCUCUUUAUAAGCAGUGGUCUUAUGGAUAUCUGCAUGACCUCUGCUGAAGUAAAAUACUGUGGUUCGUGAGAAGACGUGACCUUUGGAUACAGCUGGUCUAGUCCUGGCUCUGCUGUGUCAGUGAAAGUGGAACAGUUACAUGGCUCUCCCGAAUCUCUGUUUUCACUUGGUUAAAUGAGGGUUACAUGUACUUACUUCCAGUGUUGUUAUGAGAAUUAAAUGAGACUAAAUGUUAAAAUUUC